This is a non-coding RNA of Capsicum annuum, 103 nucleotides long. The record is from Rfam. NCBI's taxonomy places the organism in Eukaryota, Viridiplantae, Streptophyta, Magnoliopsida, Solanales, Solanaceae.
UAAUUAUGGUGAGGGCAAUUUCUAAGAAUACUGUUAAAUUUCUCCCAAGCUUAGUAGAGAUUCCCUCCUUUUUUUUUAAACUCAUAAUCUCACUUCUCAAACA